UUUGAUCCUGGCUCAGGAUGAACGCUGGCGGCGUGCCUAAUACAUACAAGUCGAACGCUUUGUGGUUCAACUGAUUUGAAGAGCUUGCUCAGAUAUGACGAUGGACAUUGCAAAGAGUGGCGAACGGGUGAGUAACACGUGGGAAACCUACCUCUUAGCAGGGGAUAACAUUUGGAAACAGAUGCUAAUNCCGUAUANCAAUGACAACCGCAUGGUUGUUAUUUAAAAGAUGGUUCUGCUAUCACUAAGAGAUGGUCCCGCGGUGCAUUAGCUAGUUGGUAAGGUAAUGGCUUACCAAGGCGAUGAUGCAUAGCCGAGUUGAGAGACUGAUCGGCCACAAUGGGACUGAGACACGGCCCAUACUCCUACGGGAGGCAGCAGUAGGGAAUCUUCCACAAUGGGCGAAAGCCUGAUGGAGCAACGCCGCGUGUGUGAUGAAGGGUUUCGGCUCGUAAAACACUGUUGUAAGAGAAGAAUGACAUUGAGAGUAACUGUUCAAUGUGUGACGGUAUCUUACCAGAAAGGAACGGCUAAAUACGUGCCAGCAGCCNCGGUAAUAAGGG
RNAcentral lists this ribosomal RNA (563 nucleotides) under uncultured Weissella sp. Its description in RNAcentral is "bacterial SSU rRNA". It matches the Rfam family "Bacterial small subunit ribosomal RNA", at positions 12 to 529 of the family's 1533-position model. The record is from RNAcentral. Lineage: Bacteria; Bacillati; Bacillota; Bacilli; Lactobacillales; Lactobacillaceae.